This 31-nucleotide ribosomal RNA is filed under the name Prorocentrum mexicanum. Its description in RNAcentral is "partial 18S ribosomal RNA". The record is from RNAcentral. Lineage: Eukaryota; Dinophyceae; Prorocentrales; Prorocentraceae.
GUUCCGUAGGUGAACCUGCGGAAGGAUCAUU